Molecule: transfer RNA, 70 nt
Filed under: Gammarus curvativus
Lineage: Eukaryota; Metazoa; Arthropoda; Malacostraca; Amphipoda; Gammaridae
Description: tRNA-Val
Source: RNAcentral
GAUGAAGUAAGUCUUCACUUACAAUGAAGAAGACCCAUUGGGCAUCUUUUUAGGUCUAAUGGGGUUGUAA